This 71-nucleotide transfer RNA is filed under the name Sanfilippodytes adelardi. RNAcentral's name for it is "tRNA-Val". Lineage: Eukaryota; Metazoa; Arthropoda; Insecta; Coleoptera; Dytiscidae. The record is from RNAcentral.
CAAAUUAGAGCUUGAAUAGUUAAGCAUUUUAUUUACAUUAAAAAGUUGUUGUGCAAAUCAAUUUAAUUUGA